AGUGAACGCUGGCGGUAGGCCUAACACAUGCAAGUCGAACGGCAGCACAGUAAGAGCUUGCUCUUACGGGUGGCGAGUGGCGGACGGGUGAGGAAUACAUCGGAAUCUACUUUUUCGUGGGGGAUAACGUAGGGAAACUUACGCUAAUACCGCAUACGACCUACGGGUGAAAGCAGGGGAUCUUCGGACCUUGCGCGAUUGAAUGAGCCGAUGUCGGAUUAGCUAGUUGGCGGGGUAAAGGCCCACCAAGGCGACGAUCCGUAGCUGGUCUGAGAGGAUGACAAGCCACACUGGGACUGAGACGCGGUCAAGCAUCCUGCGGGAGGCAGCAGUGGGGAAUAUGGGACAAUGGGCGCAAGCCUGAUCCACCCAUAGCGCGUGGUUGAAGAAGCCCUUCGGGUUGUAAAGCCCUUUUGUUGGGAAAGAAAAGCAGCAGGUGAAUACCCCGAUGUUCUGACGGUAGCCAAAGAAUAAGCACCGGCUAACUUCGUG
RNAcentral lists this ribosomal RNA (492 nucleotides) under uncultured bacterium. Its description in RNAcentral is "partial 16S ribosomal RNA". It matches the Rfam family "Bacterial small subunit ribosomal RNA", at positions 29 to 507 of the family's 1533-position model. The record is from RNAcentral.